RNAcentral lists this unclassified non-coding RNA (518 nucleotides) under Hevea brasiliensis (rubber tree). Lineage: Eukaryota; Viridiplantae; Streptophyta; Magnoliopsida; Malpighiales; Euphorbiaceae. The record is from RNAcentral.
GGGGAAUGAGUUCUGCCAAAGCAGCACUUGAGAGUGAUACCAGAGUACUUGCUUUCGAGGCUGGAAGAAAACAGAAAGUUAGGGUGAACACAAUAUCUGCCGGCCCUUUACGGAGUCGAGCUGCAAAAGCAAUUGGUUUCAUAGAUAUGAUGAUUGACUACUCGAUAGCCAACGCGCCUCUGCAGAGAGAAUUAUCAGCAGAUGAAGUAGGAAAUACAGCUGCAUUCCUAGCAUCGCCACUCGCUUCAGCAAUUACUGGUGCUGUUAUAUAUGUUGACAACGGUUUGAAUGCAAUGGGCGUGGGAGUCGACAGUCCUAUAUUUAAAGACCUCAACAUUCCCAAGAGUACGGAAUAGAAGACAUCGUGUGUUAGACGAGUUUGUAUUUGUGUUUUUCCCAUAACAUUAUUAUGGUCAGAGCCAAGAGUUCUCGUCCAUCGGCUUUCGUGAAAUUAUCUACUGCUGUAUGAUUGAUACUUUUAUAGAGUAAAUAGAAGUAAUGAGUUUCCAGUUAUGAAU